GAAACCGUUCAGGGGUAAACCUGAGAAACCCGAAAGGUCGAAAGGGGAAAUUCAUUCGCGUCUCGACCGUCGGAGCGGAGCGUUCGCGCGACGGACGGCGUACGCGUCGUCCGCGCCUUUCGUUCCGCGAUCCGGCGUCGAACGCGUGCACUUUUCCCCUAGUAGGACGUCGCGAUCCGUUGGGUGUCGGUCUAAGGCUCGCGGUGGAGCCCGAGCGUGCGUCUUCGGGCGUUCGCGCUCGGACCCGCGGUGUCCCGGCCGACCCGCUCGACGGUAUACAGAUGGCGCGGGGCCGCAAAUUCAAUUUGCGUUCGGCCCGUGGCAAGCGCGUACGGCGUUGACGGCGAUCGGACCUGGUGCCGAUCCCGUCCCCGGACGACUGUUGGCUGCGGUGCUCUCGAACAGACCUCGUUCGAAACGCCGAUCUGCGACGCUAUAGCUUUGGGUACUUUCAGGACCCGUCUUGAAACACGGACCAAGGAGUCUAGCAUGUGCGCGAGUCAUUGGGACAUAACUAAACCUAAAGGCGCAAUGAAAGUGAAGGUCCGUCUCGCGCGGACCGAGGGAGGAUGGGCGGUUCGUACUUCGUGCGGCCGCUCCGCACUCCCGGGGCGUCUCAUUCUCAUCGCGAGAAGAGGCGCACCAAGAGCGUACACGCUGG
This 661-nucleotide ribosomal RNA is filed under the name Morimus asper. RNAcentral describes it as "partial large subunit ribosomal RNA". It matches the Rfam family "Eukaryotic large subunit ribosomal RNA", at positions 401 to 812 of the family's 3401-position model. Lineage: Eukaryota; Metazoa; Arthropoda; Insecta; Coleoptera; Cerambycidae. The record is from RNAcentral.